RNAcentral lists this microRNA precursor (86 nucleotides) under Branchiostoma floridae (Florida lancelet). Its description in RNAcentral is "mir-2060 microRNA precursor family". It matches the Rfam family "mir-2060 microRNA precursor family". Lineage: Eukaryota; Metazoa; Chordata; Leptocardii; Amphioxiformes; Branchiostomatidae. The record is from Rfam by way of RNAcentral.
GUGUGUGGAUUGUGUUAAUCACAAAAGACAAUUGUCUUCACCUGUGUGUGGAUGGUGUUCAGUACCAAGGACAGUUGUGUUUAAUU